GCUAAGAGCCUCGAUUCUUCGA
This 22-nucleotide microRNA is filed under the name Drosophila mojavensis. RNAcentral's name for it is "Dmo-Mir-964_3p* (star (passenger))". The record is from RNAcentral. Lineage: Eukaryota; Metazoa; Arthropoda; Insecta; Diptera; Drosophilidae.